CCGCCCGUCACACCAUGGGAGUUGGUCUCGCUUGAAGAGAAUGAGCUAACCGCAAGGAGGCAAUUUUCGAUGGCAAGGCCGAUGACUGGGGUG
Molecule: ribosomal RNA, 93 nt
Filed under: uncultured bacterium
Lineage: Bacteria
Description: partial 16S ribosomal RNA
Rfam family: Bacterial small subunit ribosomal RNA
Source: RNAcentral